GCCAAGGGGCUCUCUUGGGGAUUUGGCCAUUUACAGGGCAUCAGAAUUAUUGAUGUGAGUGUUUUGUUAAGUCUCCCUCCAUGACAACAAGAAAAAUGGAUGAGAACAGAUAUGGAGCAAAUGCACCGACUGGCAAGGCCUGCCGGUGAUCUCUGGGGUCCGCGGAUGAAGGAAGGAUAUGGAAAGUCAUUUAGUGAUCUUGUUUUCUACAAGGAAAAUGCUGAGUGCAGGGAGGCUGUUACUGCUGCAAUCUGGCUGCUGCUGCUGCCUUUGAUGUAAAGCCUUGGUGUUUUCCCUAUCCAGCAAGUUGAGUGGGAUUUGUCUACAUGGGUGAAUGGCAAAAGCCUCUUUCAGCAACAGAAUCUAUGAGAGUUCCUUGCUCCCAUGCCCAGGUGGAUUCUUUACCGCUGAGCCACCGGGGAAGCCCAGCUGGUAGAAGAGCUUAUUCACUCGACACUUGGCAAUUAAAGCAAGGGAGAUGCCCUGGAUGCCUGCCAGGCUGUUCUGUUCCCCACUCCUGAUGGAAGCAGCUGUGCCCCCUGCACUGGGAUCCCUUCUUUUUCUUUCCCACUUCACCCUUCCCUCCAAUACAUUCCUAACCCAUCC
Molecule: non-coding RNA, 606 nt
Organism: Odocoileus virginianus texanus
Lineage: Eukaryota; Metazoa; Chordata; Mammalia; Artiodactyla; Cervidae
Source: RefSeq, a predicted model, not a curated record